GGGCUCUUAGCUCACCUGGUAGAGCGCUUCCAUGGCAUGGAAGAGGUAAGGGGUUCGAUCCCCAUAGAGUCCA
This 73-nucleotide transfer RNA is filed under the name Candidatus Uhrbacteria bacterium. RNAcentral's name for it is "tRNA-Ala". It matches the Rfam family "tRNA". Rfam says of the family: Transfer RNA (tRNA) molecules are approximately 80 nucleotides in length. Their secondary structure includes four short double-helical elements and three loops (D, anti-codon, and T loops). Lineage: Bacteria; Candidatus Uhriibacteriota. The record is from RNAcentral.